This is a long non-coding RNA of Lontra canadensis (Northern American river otter), 178 nucleotides long. RefSeq lists it as uncharacterized. The transcript has 3 exons. The record is from RefSeq and is a predicted model, not a curated record. Lineage: Eukaryota; Metazoa; Chordata; Mammalia; Carnivora; Mustelidae.
CAGAGUCAGACAAGACCUGGCUGCAAAGAGAGCAGACGGAUGAGGUGAUGAGACCCAGAAGAUUGGAAGCAAGCCAAAUUCCCUCCUUCCUGAAUCUGAAAUUUUGAAGUUUGACUUAAGGAUGGAACUACAGUAGCUAUCUCCUGAAUCACUGCCCAGUUGCCAGCUGCAAGUCCUC